RNAcentral lists this ribosomal RNA (253 nucleotides) under uncultured bacterium. Its description in RNAcentral is "partial 16S ribosomal RNA". It matches the Rfam family "Bacterial small subunit ribosomal RNA", at positions 524 to 776 of the family's 1533-position model. The record is from RNAcentral.
UACGGAGGGUCCAAGCGUUGUCCGGAAUUAUUGGGUUUAAAGGGUGCGUAGGCGGUCUUUUAAGUCAGAGGUGAAAUCCUGCAGCUUAACUGCAGAACUGCCUUUGAUACUGGAAGACUUGAGUACACUAGAGGUAGGCGGAAUUUAUGAUGUAGCGGUGAAAUGCAUAGAUAUCAUAAAGAACACCGAUAGCGAAGGCAGCUUACUGGAGUGUAACUGACGCUGAGGCACGAAAGUGUGGGUAGCGAACAGG